CUCCUUAGCAGCCGUGACAGAGAUGGUUGCAAAUCUGAAGGAGGAGAUAUUCAACAUUCGAAGCCUAGUUCAAGGUCAAUACUAGAACAUAAGUGACGUCAAGGACGACACAAGGCAGAUGCGAGAUAGCAUCAAACAUGAGCUAGGCAACCAGAGUCAGGGUGCAGAGAGACUAGCCAAUGUACUGAUCUUCAAACUUGACACCCUCCAGGAGAGUGUGAACAACAUUUCUUCGA
RNAcentral lists this long non-coding RNA (236 nucleotides) under Phoenix dactylifera (date palm). Its description in RNAcentral is "long non-coding RNA (PDAC_LNC011500)". The record is from RNAcentral. Lineage: Eukaryota; Viridiplantae; Streptophyta; Magnoliopsida; Arecales; Arecaceae.